RNAcentral lists this ribosomal RNA (515 nucleotides) under Aspergillus pseudoglaucus. RNAcentral describes it as "eukaryotic LSU rRNA". The stretch from base 155 to 308 matches the Rfam family "5.8S ribosomal RNA". The record is from RNAcentral. Lineage: Eukaryota; Fungi; Ascomycota; Eurotiomycetes; Eurotiales; Aspergillaceae.
AAGGAUCAUUACCGAGUGCGGGCCCUCUGGGUCCAACCUCCCAUCCGUGUCUAUCUGUACCCUGUUGCUUCGGCGUGACCACGGCCCGCCGAAGACUAACAUUUGAACACUGUCUGAAGUUUGCAGUCUGAGUUUUUAGUUAAACAAUAAUUAAAACUUUCAACAACGGAUCUCUUGGUUCCGGCAUCGAUGAAGAACGCAGCGAAAUGCGAUAAUUAAUGUGAAUUGCAGAAUUCAGUGAAUCAUCGAGUCUUUGAACGCACAUUGCGCCCCCUGGUAUUCCGGGGGGCAUGCCUGUCCGAGCGUCAUUGCUGCCCUCAAGCACGGCUUGUGUGUUGGGCUUCCGUCCCUGGUAACGGGGACGGGCCCAAAAGGCAGUGGCGGCACCAUGUCUGGUCCUCGAGCGUAUGGGGCUUUGUCACCCGCUCCCGUAGGUCCAGCUGGCAGCUAGCCUCGCAACCAAUCUUUUUAACCAGGUUGACCUCGGAUCAGGUAGGGAUACCCGCUGAACUUAA